This is a non-coding RNA of Podarcis lilfordi (Lilford's wall lizard), 7213 nucleotides long. The record is from the annotation of a GenBank genome assembly. NCBI's taxonomy places the organism in Eukaryota, Metazoa, Chordata, Lepidosauria, Squamata, Lacertidae.
AGCAGAAGAGCAAUGAUUGACUAGCACUAGGAGCUUCCUGUCUGGAGGCACCUGAAGACAUGCCACACUGAGGAUCCUACAGGGUGACUGAAGCAAGGGAGUCAAGCCACAUGGUACAGUAGAAGGUAAAUAUGAGGACCAGCCCUUAUGAAAUCUGUAACACAUACCAGAUGCAGACAAAGUAUGUUUCCUGGAAGUAAUCAUAUUGCAAGAAGAUCUCUCCUUUAUAACUCAAGUGAAGUGUAGAGUGAGGCUAAUUAUGCACAUGUUCUGAGGGUGGCGUCACAACUGAUUUGUUAUUCCCCAAAAUCAUCUGCCUCGUUGGUUCCAGAAACAAGCAGUGUUUUUAUGUAGCUUUUCAUAUGGCCACACUUCAGGUUGUGUAAUCCGGCAGACCAGAAAAGCUCACAAUGGAAGCUGGAAUGUGUGGGUGGUUUGGGGAAUUUGUAGGAGGCUGUAGGAGGCCCCUUUGUGGGGCACAAAAUAUAAUCCAUCCACCCCCAGCAGCUAAUGAAUUCAUGAAAUACAACUCUGUAGAGUACUAGCAGCAGACGCAAAGUGGCAUUCCACAAUACAGUAGUCUUUUUCUAGUCCUCUGUGGAGAUGCCAGGGACUGAACCAGGAAUCUUCUGCAUGCAAAGCAUGUACUCUACCACUGAGCUAUGGUUUCCCUCCAAAUGUUGGGCCAAACUAAACAUGGCACAGAGUACUUUUAUCUUGUCAGUACUUUAAGUGGCAAAACCACUGAAGGGAAAAGGUUUAACAUCCCCAAAAGCCCUCUGUCAUUUGACACUGAAGGAGGGACGUGAUAGAGGCUUAUACACUGAUGAAUGGUGAUGUUCCACUCACUCUCAUUACACACAAAUGCGGAGUCAGUUAAUUGGCAUUAACUGUAUUUCUUCACAUGAUGCCUGUGGAAAGCCUGCAAGCAGGACCUGAGCAUGAGAGCACUCUCCCCUCCUAUGGUUUCCAGCAACUGGUAUUCAGAAGUAUAUUGCCUCUGCCUGUGGAGGCAGAGCAUAGCCAUCAUGGUUAACAGCCACUGAUAGCCUUAUGCUCCAUGAAUUCCUCUAAUCUUAUUUUAAAACCAUCCAAGUUGGUGGCCAUCACUGCUUCCUGGGAGAGCAAGUUCUGUAGUUUAACUAAGCACUGCAUUGAAAAGUCCUUUUAUAUUCCAACAUUCAAUCCCAAAUGCUGCAACCUUUCCUCAGAGGGGAGUUGUUCUAUCUUUAUCAUUUUGGUUGCUCUUCCACAACUCUACAGUAGCCACCCAUUCCUAGCUAUAAACACACAUACAGUACAUAAAUUGGCAGAAGCUUAUAAAAUAAUUCUCAGAUAAGAUGAGGUCAAAGUUGCUUACCUGUUGUUGUUUUUUAAAAGCCCCUUAACAACCAACCAACUAACACAUUUACAUAUUAUAGGGAGGCAUGUUUAUUCCCCUUUGGACAAAAUACAAGAAGCUGUAUAACACACAUGUUGGUAAAAGUGUGACUAAUCCAGAAAGUCGUAACAUCCUUUUGAUCUGCCACCAGCAUGAAAAUUUCAGUGGGCAAUAAGCAUGACCUCUUCGAAAGAUUCUGUGUGAUGCAAGUUAAUGACUUCUGCAGGGUUUUUCAGGAAACUGGUGAAUAAGGGGAACUCUUUUGCGGUCACCUUCCCCCUAUGAACACAUGCCUUUCCUGCAAUACUUCACAGAAACCUCACACCUUCCUUCACAAAUAUUUCAAAUUUCCCUAAGCAACCAGGUAGCAUAGAUUCAAGCAGAAGCAGCACCUUGAUGGGGCUUUGCCGGGAAAAACACCAAAAGAGGUUAAAACAUCUGCAAGCCACUUCCUUAAACUUCAAACCUAUUUCAAGUUUUGAUAGCAGGGCGGCAGGAGGCAACUAUGACUGUUAUCUUCUGUCCCUGAAGUCUUUUGAGUGAGUUACAUGUUGCUCACUGCGGUCAACAGCUUUUGCUUUUGGUUAGACCGCUGCUUCCUCCUGAUAUGUAAAAUGGGCCAACAAGCAAAAAUGAAACUUUAUUAUUGCUUCUGGUAAGGAAGGCAAGGCCCCCGUGCUUUUCACAUUGUGUAAGAGGGUUUUUAAGCAAAAAGGGAAGAACUCUUUCAUCCCAUACUUGAUCAGUGGCAUUUGCCAAAAUUCCCUACUUUGCUCACGUAUUAAUUUGGCAGGAUCUCACAUACCUUCCAACAUUCCUCUGGUGAAAAUAGGGACAUUUCUCACUCCCCCACACAACUGACCCUCCUUGAUUUCCCCACCUUUUUGUCCUCCCACAAUAGCAUUUCCUAUCAGAAGAAGGGCAAUUGCCAACACCAUCACACCAACAGGACACAGCACACACAGCCUCCACUGUCCUGAGAAAAGCCAUUCAUCCUUAUUUUAUUUUAUGGUAGAUUUACAAAGAAGUAAAUUUGAGAAAGGGGCAAGAUUAGAUGUUGGACACACAAAGUUUUAGGGUUUUUUUAAGACUCCUUGUCUCCUCUCUGCUCCCUCUCUCUGUGCCCUAUUUUGUACUCCCUUGGUGGUGCAUGUGACCGGCCUACCGUGACUUCACCCACCUGGUUCCCACCACCCCAAUCAAAACAGGCAUCCUUGGGAAAGCCUGUGAUUCACUACUUGACAACUCAUUUUUUCUAGGUCUUCCAUGAUCUCAUUGUCUUCAGAAAAUAGGUGUGCUUUAUGACUGUGCACCUUUACCCUUAAAAGAGGCCACAAGAAUUUUUUUGAAAGGGAAAUUAAGGAAACUUUCCUAAUAACCCCAUAGUUGUAAGUGUUGUGAGGUUCCUCAGGGUUGCUAAGAGUCCUCUUCCCAUAAUUUUUUAUUUUUUGCUUCAAACAAACAAACAAACAAACAACUAUUUUCCUUGUGGAGAUAUAAGUGAAAAUAGGAAGGCAGUAUUCUACCCAAAUAGCCGAUACAGUGGUAUCUCGGGUUACAGAUGCUUCAGGUUACAGACUCCGCUAACCCAGAAAUAGUACCUCAGGGUAAGAACUUUGCUUCAGGAUGAGAACAGAAAUCAUGCUCCGGCGGUGCGGCGGCAGCUGGAGGCCCCAUUAGCUAAAGUGGUACCUCAGGUUAAGAACAGUUUCAGGUUAAGAACGGACCUCCAGAACAAAUUAAGUUCUUAACCCGAGGUACCACUGUACAUUUCUACAUUCCAGUGUUGUAGCUGAUUAAUAAGAAGGCUUUGGGCACUAAUUUUGAAAACAAGUUUUAUUAUUUUAUCAAAACAAUUUAACACAUUCAUUCAAUCCUAAGUUUUUACUGAGAAAAAUACCGCUUGACUUCAGUUCAUCUAGUAAAUGUCUCAAGGACUGCAGCAUUAAGAAAUAUAUUGGGUGGUAGUCAACAUGAGUGAAUAGUGAGAUGCAGCAGCAAAAAACCUAAUGCUAUUCUAGGCUGCAUCAACAGAAGUAUAGGGAAGUAAUAAUACCACUAUUCUGCUUUGGUCAGACCACGCCUGGAGUUGAGUUUUGGGUGCCGUAAUUUAAGAAAUAUAUUGACAAGCUGUGCAGAGGAGGGCUACCAAAAUGAUAAAAGGCCUGGAAGCUGAGCCUUAUGAGGAACAUUUGAGGGAGUUGGUAUGUUUGGCCUGGAAAAGAAGAGACUGAGAGGAGAUAUGAUAUUCAUUUUCAAAUAUCUAAAGGGCUGUCACACUGAAGAUGGAGCAAGCUUGUUUUCUCCUGCUCUGGAGGCUAGGACCUGAACCAAUGUGUUCAAGUUACAAGAAAGGAGAUUCUGAUUAAACAUCAGGAAUAAGUUUUUGACUGUAAGAGCUGUUCACCUCCCUCAGGCGGUGGUGGGCUCUCCUUCCUUGAAGGUUUUUAAGCAGAGGUUGGAUGGCCAUCUGUCAGGGAUGCUUUAUUUGAGAUUCCUGCGUUGCAGGGGGUCAGCCUAUGACCCUUGGGGUCCCUUCCAACUUUACAGUUCUAGGAUUCUAUAAUUCUAUAGCCAGCUAAGUUUUAUUUAAAUUAGACCUAAUGAAAUUAAUGGGUCUAAUUUUGUCAUGUUAUUUCAGUGGAGCAACUUUUGAGUAAAAUUUGGUUAAAUACCACCCAUUUUGUUGUUGUUUAGUCAUGUCCGACUUUUCGUGACCCCGUGGACCAGAGCAUGCCAGGCACUCCUGUUUUCCACUGCCUCCCGCAGUUUGGUCAAACUCAUGCUGGUAGUUUCGAGAACACUAUCCAACCACCUCGUCUUCUGUCGUCCCCUUCUCCUUGUGCCCUCCAUCUUUCCCAGCAUCCUGGUCUUUUCCAGGGAGUCUUCUCUUCUCACGAGGUGGCCAAAGUAUUGGAGCCUCAGCUUCAGGAUCUGUCCUUCCAGUGAGUACUCAGAGCUGAUUUCCUUCAGAAUGGAUAGGUUUGAUCUUCUUGCAGUCCAUGGGACUCACAAGAGUCUCCUCCAGCACCAUAAUUCAAAAGCAUCAAUUCUUCGGCGAUCAGCCUUUAUGGUCUAGCUCUCACUUCCAUACAUCACUAAAAUACCACCCAUUAGAUUAAGCUUUUCUUUUUCUACAUUGGCUUAUAACGGCCCCUCAGUGGUGGGGGCAAGGCUUUUUAAGCCCAAGGGCCUCAUUCCCUCCUGCGUGCCAGUUAAACCUCUGUGCUUUUUCACAUUUUAAGAAGUAUGUCCAGUUACAGAGCCAUUUCUGACCAGCUGAGCAGAAAAUAGCAUGACCCAGUCAUUUGCCUUUAACUGUCUUCGAUAUGCAGAAAUCAGCAGUGAAAACCUCUCAUGGCAUGGAGAUGCAAGUGUUAUUAUAUCUAAUGUCCGCACACCAAACUGCUGUUAAAAGCGCAGGAGGAUGGUCUAGUUAAAAAGCUGGGUUUCUUACUGAUCAUCUUUCAACAGCCUUUACAGUUACACAACAUAAGCAACCGCACCCCCAUAUUACCCAUGCAACACAGAAUGUUCUCUUUUUUUCAGAUGUUUCUGUAACUGCAGGUCUCAGCAUGGUUUACCCCACUGAUCGGAAAUUGCUUUAAAAACAACAAUUCUUGAGCACAGCAGAAACGAGAACUCAGCACAUUGGUCACUAAUUGCUAUGCAAAAUUUUAAAAAAUGAAGGUAUUUGUUUUCCUGCCCCACUGAUCUCAUAAUUCUCACCAGGAAGACAAUGGAAUUGUCAACUGCAAGGGACAAUCUUCCAUUUUCUGCCAUCUUCAAAGUAAAGAAAGAAAAAAAAUAAGAAGACCCAAGCCAGUGCCGUAGCUACGGGGGGCUAGUCAGGUUUUUUUUUUGCCCCUGGUGAAGCCUCUAGAGGGGCACCAUUGAGGUUCCAGCCUCUGUUUGUGUGUACACAAAUGCACAUGGUGGGGGGUGUGUACUAAACUGGGUCUUUGACCCGAAUGAAAUGAAGCCUAGUUUCACCUCUGCCCAGACCUACAUACUGAAGCAGUAACGGUGUUUGUCCAUCUGUUCUGUGACCUGAGACCUCCGGGUAUAGGGUGAUACAUAAAUUCAAUUAAUAAUAAUAACAACAACAACAAAAGACACAAAUAGAGUUCUAUGGCACCUUAGAGACCAUAAAGUUCUAUGGACUUUGAUCAAUCUCUCAACAGAUAGCUAGUUAAACAGAGGGGUGCCUAAAUUGAUCGGAUUAUGUAUAUACAGUGGUACCUCGGGUUAAGUACUUAAUUCGUUCCGGAGGUCCGUACUUAACCUGAAACUGUUCUUAACCUGAAGCACCACUUUAGCUAAUGGGGCUUCCUGCUGCCACUGUGCCGCCGGAGCACGAUUUCUGUUCUCAUCCUGAAGCAAAGUUCUUAACCCAAGGUACUAUUUCUGGGUUAGUGGAGUCUGUAACCUAAAGCGUAUGUAACCUGAAGUGUAUGUAACCCAAGGUACCACUGUCUAUAGAUUAGCACAAUGAAGGAUGAAGAAUUUGGAAAGCAUGAGUCAAAAAGUGAAUGAAUUACAAGGAGCAACUGAAAGUGUGUCAUAUUCUUGAGUAAAGCUAAAAUAUAUGCAAGAUAAAAUCAGAAUGACCCACUCCUCAAGAGCAGUCAUUGGCGAUCAGUUAGCACAGCAUUUCAAGAGGUACUAUCAGUUUCUGGAUGUUUGCAGAUGGGAAGUUAAUCUUCAAAAGACUCAUUGAUUCAAUGAAUCAUUGGCAACAGUUGUUUUUUUUAAUGUAGGAUUUCCCCUGUAAAUAGUAAAUCGGGACUAAAUAGAGGAGAGGAGAUAUGGGAUGGGAUUUUGAUGCCAACAAUACUAUAUGGAUGCUGGGGAGUGAAUAAGGAGACCCAUCCCAUAAUAAGCACCCGUCUGCAAGUACCCCCUGUGGUGGAAAAGCCACCUGAAUCCUGACUCAGACCAAAUUCAGUAGUGUCAGAUUUGCAAAAUGAAUGAUGAAGCAAGUGCCGUCUCCCUGUUAAGUAAGUAAUGCCGCCUUAAGUAAUGUCUCCAAGCAUGAACUGAAUUCCCACGUAUGCGUUCGUGUUACUAAUCCCAUUCUACCAACUCUUGAGCGUCAUGACUUCAUGACUCAGCGGGUUUUUUGUCUGAGAGAGAUCACACCGAGGGCAAAUCUCCAGAUUCCCCAGCUCUUGACCAUGUGAUAUGUGCCAUAAGUCUAGUGAAGUGAACAACAGAUGAUGUUUUAAUGGGUGCCGCAGAGCGUGUGCAGCAGAGUUCGCAAAACUAUUUUUGCCUUGGCAUGCUCCCAAGGGCUGGACAAAAGACACAUUCAGCAGCAGUCAGACAGCGUCCUGGUGAGUCAAAGGCUUCCAAACUAGACCUUUUGAAGCUUUGUAAAGCUGGAACAGUCCACAAACCUAUAACAGUACGGCAUGGGAUAGAUCUGGUGACAAGGGAUCCUUUGAAGUUCACCUCUAGGAAUUCAAUUUCCUGCUUGAUUUCCUUGAGCCCAACAGAAAACUUCACCAAACCAUUGUGUUUGUUUAUGCUGCUGCUUUUUUCCCCUUUAACUGGCAUCAAGCUAGACGCAAGACUAGAUGAUGCCUCAUAAAAAGAGCAGUGUAUUGCUCACUGGCUGAUUACAUCAAAGAAAUUCGACUCCUGAAUCUGAUGCCUCAAGUUUUUCAACAGCAGGAAAUUCUGUUCUGAUAUAACACAGGAGUUUUGGUUUUUUUUACAAGCUUUUCAUUCCUUUGACAUUUCCCAAAUUUCCUUUCCCUACUUACUAUUAAUCUUGUUUUCUUUUUGAUCCGUCUAUUAAUUAGUGCUCAAAUAGUUUGGACUAUGCCC